RNAcentral lists this ribosomal RNA (253 nucleotides) under uncultured bacterium. RNAcentral describes it as "partial 16S ribosomal RNA". It matches the Rfam family "Bacterial small subunit ribosomal RNA", at positions 524 to 776 of the family's 1533-position model. The record is from RNAcentral.
UACAGAGGGGGCAAGCGUUGUUCGGAAUUACUGGGCGUAAAGGGCGCGUAGGCGGCCUGCUAAGUCGAACGUGAAAUCCCCGGGCUCAACCCGGGAACUGCGUCCGAUACUGACAGGCUUGAAUCCGGGAGAGGGAUGUGGAAUUCCAGGUGUAGCGGUGAAAUGCGUAGAUAUCUGGAGGAACACCGGUGGCGAAGGCGGCAUCCUAGACCGGUAUUGACGCUGAUGCGCGAAAGCCAGGGGAGCAAACGGG